This 622-nucleotide ribosomal RNA is filed under the name uncultured Lachnospiraceae bacterium. RNAcentral describes it as "bacterial SSU rRNA". It matches the Rfam family "Bacterial small subunit ribosomal RNA", at positions 62 to 709 of the family's 1533-position model. The record is from RNAcentral. Lineage: Bacteria; Bacillati; Bacillota; Clostridia; Lachnospirales; Lachnospiraceae.
UCGGAUGGAAGAGAGUUCAGCUUAGUGGCGAACGGGUGAGUAACACGUGAGCAACCUGCCUUUCAGUGGGGGACAACAUUUGGAAACGAAUGCUAAUACCGCAUAAGACCACAGUGUCGCAUGGCACAGGGGUCAAAGGAUUUAUCCGCUGAAAGAUGGGCUCGCGUCCGAUUAGCUAGAUGGUGAGGUAACGGCCCACCAUGGCAACGAUCGGUAGCCGGACUGAGAGGUUGAACGGCCACAUUGGGACUGAGACACGGCCCAGACUCCUACGGGAGGCAGCAGUGGGGAAUAUUGCACAAUGGGGGAAACCCUGAUGCAGCGACGCCGCGUGGAGGAAGAAGGUCUUCGGAUUGUAAACUCCUGUCCCAGGGGACGAUAAUGACGGUACCCUGGGAGGAAGCACCGGCUAACUACGUGCCAGCAGCCGCGGUAAAACGUAGGGUGCAAGCGUUGUCCGGAAUUACUGGGUGUAAAGGGAGCGCAGGCGGAUUGGCAAGUUGGGAGUGAAAUCUAUGGGCUCAACCCAUAAAUUGCUUUCAAAACUGUCAGUCUUGAGUGGUGUAGAGGUAGGCGGAAUUCCCGGUGUAGCGGUGGAAUGCGUAGAUAUCGGGAGGAACAC